CACUGGGAGAGGUCAAGUUAGCCACGCUCCAGGCGCAAGAAGAAGGAAAUAAGCAUCACGAAGAAAGGCAGGCUCGCUUCCAAUCUCGCCAAACAGCCAACGAACAAGUAGAGCUGAAAAUCAAAUCCUUGAAAGAAGAAUUUGAUGCUAGCGAAAUUCUCGAGGAAAAGCUCGAAGAAACAACGGAGGCAGUCAAGCUUUUGCAAGAACAGCUGCAAAAUGUUAGAGAAUCAGAUAUGUCCUCUCUGAAAAUCGCCACAGCAGAGCUUGAUGAUGCUACAAGAAAACUGCGAGAAAUUGUGCAUGAACAAAACUUACAGAGAAGCUCAGUAGAUUUCCUUAAGGAGGAGCUUGAUAAUGUCAAGAGGGACCAUUCUGAAUUGAAGGACAAGGCAUCGAAAGCAGAAUUAACAGCUGAAACUUUGCAAAGUGAAUUGGAGAGAUAUAAAGCACAGCUCGACGCAGCUCUUGCAGGAGAUCCCAAGGAGAGUACGAUGAUAUGCGCUUAAAACUCCAACAGCUGGUGUCGGAGGCUGAAAAUGCUAGGCAGGGAGCAGA
This 558-nucleotide long non-coding RNA is filed under the name Coffea arabica (coffee). Its description in RNAcentral is "long non-coding RNA (CARA_LNC006145)". Lineage: Eukaryota; Viridiplantae; Streptophyta; Magnoliopsida; Gentianales; Rubiaceae. The record is from RNAcentral.